AUGUGUGUUAUAUUGUCAAUCAGAAUGUUAGGUAAUUUUUUGAUGCACAAACGUAGAGAAGAUGAUGAAUUGGCCAUCAUCCAAGCUUUGUAUGCUAGUGAUGGAAGCUCGGCCAGUCACACACGUAUUCAUACAUCCAUCCUUGCGGGAGAUCGGUACGCGCGAGAAGUUCUAGAGGGUCAUGAGUUGAGAUGCAAACGAGAUUUUUGGAUGGAGAAGUACAUUUUUUGUAAUUUGGUCAUGUGCCGUCGAGAAACAUGCCAUCUAAGAGAUACAAAUUUUUUCUCAGUGGAAGAAUAG
RNAcentral lists this ribosomal RNA (300 nucleotides) under Triticum aestivum (bread wheat). Its description in RNAcentral is "partial small subunit ribosomal RNA". Lineage: Eukaryota; Viridiplantae; Streptophyta; Magnoliopsida; Poales; Poaceae. The record is from RNAcentral.